This 1333-nucleotide ribosomal RNA is filed under the name uncultured bacterium. RNAcentral's name for it is "bacterial SSU rRNA". It matches the Rfam family "Bacterial small subunit ribosomal RNA", at positions 28 to 1382 of the family's 1533-position model. The record is from RNAcentral.
GACGAACGCUGGCGGCGCGCCUAACACAUGCAAGUCGAACGAGCGAGAGAGAGCUUGCUUUCUUGAGCGAGUGGCGAACGGGUGAGUAACGCGUGAGGAACCUGCCUCAAAGAGGGGGACAACAGUUGGAAACGACUGCUAAUACCGCAUAAGCCCACGGCUCGGCAUCGAGCAGAGGGAAAAGGAGCAAUCCGCUUUGAGAUGGCCUCGCGUCCGAUUAGCUAGUUGGUGAGGUAACGGCCCACCAAGGCGACGAUCGGUAGCCGGACUGAGAGGUUGAACGGCCACAUUGGGACUGAGACACGGCCCAGACUCCUACGGGAGGCAGCAGUGGGGAAUAUUGCACAAUGGGGGAAACCCUGAUGCAGCGACGCCGCGUGGAGGAAGAAGGUCUUCGGAUUGUAAACUCCUGUUGUUGAGGAAGAUAAUGACGGUACUCAACAAGGAAGUGACGGCUAACUACGUGCCAGCAGCCGCGGUAAAACGUAGGUCACAAGCGUUGUCCGGAAUUACUGGGUGUAAAGGGAGCGCAGGCGGGAAGACAAGUUGGAAGUGAAAUCCAUGGGCUCAACCCAUGAACUGCUUUCAAAACUGUUUUUCUUGAGUAGUGCAGAGGUAGGCGGAAUUCCCGGUGUAGCGGUGGAAUGCGUAGAUAUCGGGAGGAACACCAGUGGCGAAGGCGGCCUACUGGGCACCAACUGACGCUGAGGCUCGAAAGUGUGGGUAGCAAACAGGAUUAGAUACCCUGGUAGUCCACACUGUAAACGAUGAUUACUAGGUGUUGGAGGAUUGACCCCUUCAGUGCCGCAGUUAACACAAUAAGUAAUCCACCUGGGGAGUACGACCGCAAGGUUGAAACUCAAAGGAAUUGACGGGGGCCCGCACAAGCAGUGGAGUAUGUGGUUUAAUUCGACGCAACGCGAAGAACCUUACCAAGUCUUGACAUCCCUUGACGAUGCUGGAAACAGUAUUUCUCUUCGGAGCAAGGAGACAGGUGGUGCAUGGUUGUCGUCAGCUCGUGUCGUGAGAUGUUGGGUUAAGUCCCGCAACGAGCGCAACCCUUAUGGUCAGUUACUACGCAAGAGGACUCUGGCCAGACUGCCGUUGACAAAACGGAGGAAGGUGGGGAUGACGUCAAAUCAUCAUGCCCUUUAUGACUUGGGCUACACACGUACUACAAUGGCGUUAAACAAAGAGAAGCAAGACCGCGAGGUGGAGCAAAACUCAGAAACAACGUCCCAGUUCGGACUGCAGGCUGCAACUCGCCUGCACGAAGUCGGAAUUGCUAGUAAUCGCAGAUCAGCAUGCUGCGGUGAAUACGUUCCCGGGCCUU